GUAGUCAUAUGCUUGUCUCAAAGAUUAAGCCAUGCAUGUCUAAGUAUAAGCAAUCUAUACAGUGAAACUGCGAAUGGCUCAUUAAAUCAGUUAUCGUUUAUUUGAUAGUACCUUACUACUUGGAUAACCGUGGUAAUUCUAGAGCUAAUACAUGCUAAAAAUCCCGACCUCUGGAAGGGAUGUAUUUAUUAGAUAAAAAACCAAUGCCUUCGGGCUCCUUGGUGAUUCAUGAUAACUUUACGAAUCGCAUGGCCUUGUGCCGGCGAUGGUUCAUUCAAAUUUCUGCCCUAUCAACUUUCGAUGGUAGGAUAGUGGCCUACCAUGGUUUCAACGGGUAACGGGGAAU
RNAcentral lists this ribosomal RNA (346 nucleotides) under uncultured fungus. RNAcentral describes it as "SSU rRNA". It matches the Rfam family "Eukaryotic small subunit ribosomal RNA", at positions 20 to 370 of the family's 1831-position model. Lineage: Eukaryota; Fungi. The record is from RNAcentral.